RNAcentral lists this ribosomal RNA (878 nucleotides) under Lactarius sp. 5 TM02_126. RNAcentral describes it as "eukaryotic LSU rRNA". It matches the Rfam family "Eukaryotic large subunit ribosomal RNA", at positions 75 to 932 of the family's 3401-position model. Lineage: Eukaryota; Fungi; Basidiomycota; Agaricomycetes; Russulales; Russulaceae. The record is from RNAcentral.
UUCCCCUAGUAACUGCGAGUGAAGCGGGAAAAGCUCAAAUUUAAAAUCUGGCGGUCUUUGGCCGUCCGAGUUGUAAUUUAGAGAAGCGUCUUCCGCGCCGGACCGUGCACAAGUCUCCUGGAAUGGAGCGUCAUAGAGGGUGAGAAUCCCGUCUUUGGCACGGAUGCCUGGUGCUUCUGUGAUGCGCUCUCGAAGAGUCGAGUUGUUUGGGAAUGCAGCUCAAAAUGGGUGGUGAACUCCAUCUAAAGCUAAAUAUUGGCGAGAGACCGAUAGCGAACAAGUACCGUGAGGGAAAGAUGAAAAGCACUUUGGAAAGAGAGUGAAACAGUACGUGAAAUUGUUGAAAGGGAAACGCUUGAAGUCAGUCGCGUCGACCGAGACUCAGCCUUGCCUCGGCUUGGUGUACUUCUCGGCCCGACGGGUCAGCGUCAAUUUUGCCCCUCGGAUAAUGGCAAGGGAAAGGUGGCACCUUUACGGGUGUGUUAUAGUCUCCUGUCGCAUGCGAGGGGUGGGAUUGAGGAACUCAGCGCGCACCUUGGUGUCGGGGCUUCGGCCCACGUCACGCGCUUAGGAUGCUGGCGUAAUGGCUUUAAACGACCCGUCUUGAAACACGGACCAAGGAGUCCAACACGCCCGCGAGUGUUCGGGUGGAAAACCCGUGCGCGUAAUGAAAGUGAAAGUUGGGACCUCUGUCGUGGAGGGCACCGACGCCCGGACCAGACCUUCUGUGACGGAUCUGCGGUAGAGCGUGUGUGUUGGGACCCGAAAGAUGGUGAACUAUGCCUGAAUAGGGUGAAGCAGAGGAAACUCUGGUGGAGGCUCGUAGCGAUUCUGACGUGCAAAUCGAUCGUCAAAUUUGGGUAUAGGGGCGAAAGACU